GACGAACGCUGGCGGCGUGCCUAAUGCAUGCAAGUCGAACGCUUUUUCCUUCGGGAAAAGGAGUGGCGAACGGCUGAGGAACACGUGGGUAACCUGCCCUGGUGUGGGGGACAACGACUCGAAAGGGUCGCUAAUCCCGCAUACGCUCGCAAGAGGAAAGACGUAAGUCGCACCAGGAGGGGCCUGCGGCCCAUCAGGUAGUUGGUGAGGUAACGGCUCACCAAGCCAAUGACGGGUACCUGGUCUGAGAGGACGAUCAGGCAGACUGGGACUGAGACACGGCCCAGACUCCUACGGGAGGCAGCAGCAAGGAAUUUUCCGCAAUGGGCGCAAGCCUGACGGAGCAACGCCGCGUGCCGGAAGACGGCCUUCGGGUUGUAAACGGCUUUUGCCGGGGAAGAUGAUGACGGUACCCGGCGAAUAAGCCCCGGCUAACUCCGUGCCAGCAGCCGCGGUAAGACGGAGGGGGCAAGCGUUGUCCGGACUCACUGGGCGUAAAGCGUGCGUAGGCGGUCGGGAGCGUCGCGCCUGAAAACGCCGGGCUUAACCCGGCGAGGCGGAGCGAUACGGCUCGACUGGAGGCAGGGAGAGGUACACAGAAUUCCGGGUGUAGUGGUGAAAUGCGUAGAUAUCCGGAGGAAUGUCGGUGGCGAAGGCGGUGUACUGGCCCUGACCUGACGCUGAGGCACGAAGGCGUGGGGAGCAAACCGGAUUAGAUACCCGGGUAGUCCACGCAGUAAACGAUGUUGGCUCGGUGUGUGGUGCUGGUGAACAGUGCUGCGUGCCCAAGUACACACGGUAAGCCAACCGCCUGGGGACU
Molecule: ribosomal RNA, 820 nt
Filed under: uncultured Chloroflexota bacterium
Lineage: Bacteria; Bacillati; Chloroflexota
Description: bacterial SSU rRNA
Rfam family: Bacterial small subunit ribosomal RNA
Source: RNAcentral